Osmia lignaria (orchard mason bee) is the source of this 1110-nucleotide non-coding RNA. Lineage: Eukaryota; Metazoa; Arthropoda; Insecta; Hymenoptera; Megachilidae. The record is from RefSeq and is a predicted model, not a curated record.
AUUCCUAUGCUAUUUGAAUGAGUAUGCAUGCUUAAGUAUGUGAUUACAUUCAUGGUCAAAAAUAUUAAAUUUAGAGGUAUUUUAAUGUAUAUGUGCAAUUUUUAUUGAGUCUUGUGCGCUACAUUUUUAUAUUUUUUAACAAAAUAGUGCAAGAAACGAGAUGUCCAGUUUUUGACAAUCCGACUUAGCACGGUAUAGGUUAGAGUAGAGGAAUAUUUACAAGGUGGUCAUUAAGAUACCAGGGGAUCAUUCAUCCACGUAUUGCAUGUAAUAGGACUAAAGAUACAAUAAUAUUGCCUAAUUACGCAAAUGUACUGGUUUGCUUUGUUUCAUUAGUAGUGCAUGAGUGCUUGACAAUACGGCAUGACAUGGUGCGUAUCAUUCUCAUUGCAAAGUAAUAUCUAUCUAUUUACCGCUGUAAGAGGAGCAUAUAAUACAGUUUUAUUAAUAAAUAAUUAAAUUGCAGCCAAAAUCAAAUGUUUGAUAUACUUAACAUUAUUUGGUAAAUAGUUUUGUGUAUUAAAGGUAUAUUACUAUCGCUGUGAAAUCUAUUUACAUCUACCAUUUCUACAGCCUCCAAUUGAUUUCAGCGGUUCUCAUCACCUUAAUUGAAUGAAACGAAACAACGAUACGCUUGUCUCAUAACUAAGGUCAAAUAGUUAUUUGUAACAUUUGACAGGUGAUGGUUAGAGAGAAAAAUAUUUGGAAAUUGAAUGCAGUUACUUUCUUACAAGACAUAUCUGGAACAUUUAUUCAGACAUUCAUGAGGAAAUUAGAAGCAAAAAAUUAUGGAGCAGAAAAGUUGAAUAGAUACAUUAAAGAUAUUUUCCAGCAUGGAAUGAAAUAGUAGGACAUAUAACAAAAACGUACUAUGCAAACAGAUACAAUUAUUUUCUUGCAUGAUAUAUCUGGAAAUAUGUUUAAGCAUUUAUUCAGAAUGAGGAAAUUACAACAAAGAAUUUAUGGAGUAGAAGAAUUUGAUAGAUAUAGUGAACAAAUUAUCCAAAGAGGAUUAUAAAAUUAGAUAAGUUUGUUUUCCAAAUCAUCGACUAUAAAAACAAUGUAAUGCCAGCAUAUUUUAAGUAAAUAAAUUAAUAGGAUAAAAUGAAA